RNAcentral lists this ribosomal RNA (262 nucleotides) under uncultured bacterium. RNAcentral's name for it is "partial 16S ribosomal RNA". It matches the Rfam family "Bacterial small subunit ribosomal RNA", at positions 98 to 354 of the family's 1533-position model. The record is from RNAcentral.
CGGAACGGGUGAGUAACACGUGGGCAACCUGCCCAAAAGAGGGGGAUAACACUUGGAAACAGGUGCUAAUACCGCAUAACCAUAGUUACCGCAUGGUAACUAUGUAAAAGGUGGCUAUGCUACCGCUUUUGGAUGGGCCCGCGGCGCAUUAGCUAGUUGGUGGGGUAAAGGCUUACCAAGGCAAUGAUGCGUAGCCGAACUGAGAGGUUGAUCGGCCACAUUGGGACUGAGACACGGCCCAAACUCCUACGGGAGGCAGCAG